Molecule: ribosomal RNA, 433 nt
Filed under: Stenotrophomonas maltophilia
Lineage: Bacteria; Pseudomonadati; Pseudomonadota; Gammaproteobacteria; Lysobacterales; Lysobacteraceae
Description: bacterial SSU rRNA
Rfam family: Bacterial small subunit ribosomal RNA
Source: RNAcentral
CAGGUCUUGACAUCCUCUGAAAACCCUAGAGAUAGGGCUUCUCCUUCGGGAGCAGAGUGACAGGUGGUGCAUGGUUGUCGUCAGCUCGUGUCGUGAGAUGUUGGGUUAAGUCCCGCAACGAGCGCAACCCUUGAUCUUAGUUGCCAUCAUUAAGUUGGGCACUCUAAGGUGACUGCCGGUGACAAACCGGAGGAAGGUGGGGAUGACGUCAAAUCAUCAUGCCCCUUAUGACCUGGGCUACACACGUGCUACAAUGGACGGUACAAAGAGCUGCAAGACCGCGAGGUGGAGCUAAUCUCAUAAAACCGUUCUCAGUUCGGAUUGUAGGCUGCAACUCGCCUACAUGAAGCUGGAAUCGCUAGUAAUCGCGGAUCAGCAUGCCGCGGUGAAUACGUUCCCGGGCCUUGUACACACCGCCCGUCACACCACGAGA